UAUAUGAUUAUAUGACAAUAGGAACAAACUCAUUAGAUUCAAAAUAAUGAAACUGUCUGUAUGCAUAUUCAAGUUGAUGGUUUUUUUUGUUCUCUUAGUUUGAAAGUAUCGCAAUAUUCAAAGAAAUGGAUAAUAGUUGGGUUCCUCAUAACCGGUUGAGUAAGGAGUUUGAUGUUGUUCUUAGACCAUGCAUUUGAAAAUGGGUUUGUUACUGAAAGUACUAAAAUGAAAUGUCCAUGCAAAGAGUGCACCAAUAUUUAUUACAAGACCAGAGAUGAGAUAUAUGAUGAUGUAGUAACUUGUGGUAUGACAAAGAGCUACACAAUUUGGUAUCAUCAUGGUGAAAGUUUCCCCUUAACGUUUCCUUCUAUUUCUUAUGUCGGGGCAAAAAAUGCAAAUGCUGAGGUUGGAGAUAAUGAUAGUGAAGAACUUGGAGAUAAUAUUACAGGCAUGAUUCGAGAUGCAUAUGGAGUACCAGUGUGUGAAGAUGAUGAUAUGUGUGAUAUAAACGUGGGAGCGAGUAGCACACCAAGUGAUUUUGGAACUACAAGUGUGUUGGUGGGAUGACCGAUAAGUCAUUAAAAGAUAUGCUCCAACUUAUGAGAGAUUCAUUCCAGAGGGGUGCACUUUGCCUGAAAACUUCACACAGUGUAAGAAGCUUCUCGUUACAAAGAUGGAAAAACGAAAACGGCUGCCAAGAUUCUUCGUCACUUCCCUUUGAAACCCCCGGCUGCAACGGUUAUCCACGUGUUCAAAGACUGCUGCAAAUAUGAGAUGGCAUCAUGAAGUGCGUACGAGAGAUGGGGUAUUGAGACAUCCAGCUGAUUCUUAAGCUUGGAAGAAAUUCGACGAGAUGAAUCCAACUUUUGCAGCUGAUUCAAGGAAUAUAAGAUUAGGUUUAUCAACCGACGGAUUUAGUCCAUACAGUUCAAUGAAAAAUCCACAUAGCACAUGGUCUGUGGUUCUUUUACCGUAUAACUUACCGCCAUGGUUAUGCAUGAAACAGCCUAACAUGAUACUGUCUCUGCUUAUAUCAGGCCCGCAUAGCCCUGCAAAUAUUUGAUGUACCAGACGAGUUGAAUGAUUGGAUCAAACUCAAGUUGAACGAAAGGUGGAGAAAUUACAAACAUGCUCUUAAAGUGGGUGCGUAUAGAAACAAGUGAGAAAAACAAUGAAAACAGAUCAAAACAAAAGAAUCUACAUACCACAGGCUCCAAACCACAUGCAAACUAUGCAGUAAAGUUGGCAAAGGAACUAGGACGACCUCCUAAGCGUAGUGAGCUCUAUGGUGUUACCCAUACAAGGAAAAGGAAAACAGAAGAUCCGGACGAAGUAUUGAUGGAUCCCAAAGUGGCUGCGGAAAUUAUAUAAAGUAAAUGGUGGAAGUGGAGUACCAAGCAAGCCAACCAGGUUCUCAUAUUGUGCUACAAGGACGAAAUGAUUCAUUUGCACACGUCAAGGGACCAGAUA
This is a long non-coding RNA of Papaver somniferum (opium poppy), 1470 nucleotides long. RefSeq lists it as uncharacterized. The transcript is spliced from 7 exons. Lineage: Eukaryota; Viridiplantae; Streptophyta; Magnoliopsida; Ranunculales; Papaveraceae. The record is from RefSeq and is a predicted model, not a curated record.